Molecule: transfer RNA, 76 nt
Filed under: Pyrobaculum ferrireducens
Lineage: Archaea; Thermoproteati; Thermoproteota; Thermoprotei; Thermoproteales; Thermoproteaceae
Also listed under: 2 other names
Description: tRNA-Val (TAC) (tRNA-Val-TAC-1-1)
Rfam family: tRNA
About the family: Transfer RNA (tRNA) molecules are approximately 80 nucleotides in length. Their secondary structure includes four short double-helical elements and three loops (D, anti-codon, and T loops).
Source: RNAcentral
GGGCCCGUAGUCUAGCGGUUAUGAUGCCCGCCUUACACGCGGGUGGUCCCGGGUUCGAAUCCCGGCGGGCCCACCA